CAGGAUCAGACCCAUGUCUCCUGCAUCUCCUGAAUCGGCAGAUAGGAAACGCUGAAAAGCAGCAUGGAUCCGGGUCUGUGUGAGGCCAUGUGGCUUUCGUGGGAAAACAUUUGGAAAAUAUGGAGGCCGGAUGACUACGAACUGCAGAGUUGAUGUCACUUUGUUGAGGUGAGAUCAUUCUGGAAUAACUGAGUGGGUCCUAAGCCCAAUUAUAAGUGUCUUUAUGAGAAGAAGACAUAGACGCACAGAAGAGAAGACAGUGUGAAGAUGGAGACAGAGAUUGGAGUGAUGCGGCCACAAGUCAAGGAAGCCAAGGAAUGCUGAUGGUCACCAGAAGACAAGAAACAGAGAAAAUGUCUUUCUGAGAGCCUCCAGAAAGAGCUGAUACUUUGAUUUCAGCUUUCAGGCCUGCAGAACUGUGCAAGAAUCCUUUUCUCUUGCUUUAAGCCACCCAACUUGUGGUAAUUUGUUCCAGAACCCCUAGGAAAUACAUGCGUCUCUCUGUUUAAGUUCUCCAUCUCUUCAUUCAUGUAUUAUA
Odocoileus virginianus texanus is the source of this 538-nucleotide non-coding RNA. The record is from RefSeq and is a predicted model, not a curated record. Lineage: Eukaryota; Metazoa; Chordata; Mammalia; Artiodactyla; Cervidae.